ACCAACAGGAGAAUCAUUUCUAUAGUAUUUGUCCUCUUUUGUGUUCCCUAAAGGAGCCACAGAUCCCACCCGGGAUGAUGAUCAAUAUCCUCGUUUCCCAACAGUGAGGUCCUUUUAUUUACUCUCGCUCUGCCUGCAAAGGUGGCGAUCUGCUUUCGAGUGGAUUGUAUAGAGAGUGGCGAUGAUCUGUACCCCGAUUUCUCGAGGUCUGCCUUCGGGCGCUUGGGCGGGGUGGGUUUCGAUGGAAGUCUGACCGGC
Molecule: small nucleolar RNA, 258 nt
Filed under: Sordaria macrospora k-hell
Lineage: Eukaryota; Fungi; Ascomycota; Sordariomycetes; Sordariales; Sordariaceae
Description: Fungal small nucleolar RNA U3
Rfam family: Fungal small nucleolar RNA U3
About the family: Small nucleolar RNAs (snoRNAs) are involved in the processing and modification of rRNA in the nucleolus. There are two main classes of snoRNAs: the box C/D class, and the box H/ACA class.
Source: Rfam by way of RNAcentral